AACGAACGCUGGCGGCAGGCCUAACACAUGCAAGUCGAACGCUCCGCAAGGGGAGUGGCGCACGGGUGAGUAACACGUGGGAACCUACCUUCUGGUACGGAACAACCAAGGGAAACUCUGGCUGAUACCGUAUACGACCUCCGGGUGAAAGAUUGAUCGCCGGAAGAGGGGCCCGCGUCCGAUUAGGUAGUUGGUGAGGUAACGGCUCACCAAGCCUGCGAUCGGUAGCUGGUCUGAGAGGANGACCAGCCACACUGGGACUGAGACACGGCCCAGACUCCUACGGGAGGCAGCAGUGGGGAAUCUUGCGCAAUGGGCGAAAGCCUGACGCAGCGACGCCGCGUGAGGGAUGACGGCCU
This 359-nucleotide ribosomal RNA is filed under the name uncultured bacterium. RNAcentral's name for it is "bacterial SSU rRNA". It matches the Rfam family "Bacterial small subunit ribosomal RNA", at positions 29 to 417 of the family's 1533-position model. The record is from RNAcentral.